Molecule: ribosomal RNA, 370 nt
Filed under: Scyliorhinus canicula (smaller spotted catshark)
Lineage: Eukaryota; Metazoa; Chordata; Chondrichthyes; Carcharhiniformes; Scyliorhinidae
Description: eukaryotic LSU rRNA
Rfam family: Eukaryotic large subunit ribosomal RNA
Source: RNAcentral
CUCACUAGAUCUCGACCUCAGAUCAGACGUGGCAACCCGCUGAAUUUAAGCAUAUUACUAAGCGGAGGAAAAGAAACUAACAGGAUUCCCCUAGUAACUGCGAGUGAAGAGGGAAGAGCCCGCGCCGAAUCCCCGCUCGCCUGACGGGCGUGGGAAAUUGGCGUACGAAGACCUUUCUCUGACGACGCUCCGGGGCCCAAGUCCUUCUGAUCGAGGCUAGCCUGUGACGGUGUGAGGCCGGUGCGGCCCCUGGCUCGUCGGGAUCGUGUCUUCUCGGAGUCGGGUUGCUUGUGAAUGCAGCCCAAAGUGGGUGGUAAACUCCAUCUAAGGCUAAAUACCGGCACGAGACCGAUGUCAACAAGUACCGUAA